Molecule: non-coding RNA, 73 nt
Organism: Cricetulus griseus (Chinese hamster)
Lineage: Eukaryota; Metazoa; Chordata; Mammalia; Rodentia; Cricetidae
Source: Rfam
GCCUGGCUAGCUCAGUCGGUAGAGCAUGGGAUUUUUAAUCCCAGAGCUGUGGGUCCGAACCCCACAUUGGGCG